RNAcentral lists this ribosomal RNA (402 nucleotides) under Verrucomicrobiota bacterium. RNAcentral's name for it is "Verrucomicrobia bacterium partial 16S ribosomal RNA". It matches the Rfam family "Bacterial small subunit ribosomal RNA", at positions 355 to 776 of the family's 1533-position model. Lineage: Bacteria; Pseudomonadati; Verrucomicrobiota. The record is from RNAcentral.
UGGGGAAUUUUGCACAAUGGGGGAAACCCUGAUGCAGCGACGCCGCGUGAUUUAGAAGGCCUUCGGGUUGUAAAAAUCUUUUUUAUGGGAUGAAAAUGACAGUACCAUAAGAAUAAGGUCCGGCUAAAUACGUGCCAGCAGCCGCGGUAAUACGUAUGGACCGAGCGUUGUCCGGAAUCAUUGGGCGUAAAGGGUACGUAGGCGGCCCAGUAAGUUAGAAGUGAAAUAAUAUAGCUCAACUAUAUAAAGCUUUUAAAACUGCUAGGCUUGAGAGAUGGAAGGGAAAGUGGAAUUCCUAGUGUAGCGGUGAAAUGCGCAGAUAUAAGGAAGAAUACCGGUGGCGAAGGCGACUUUCUGGUCAUCAUCUGACGCUGAGGUACGAAAGCGUGGGUAGCAAACAGG